This 253-nucleotide ribosomal RNA is filed under the name uncultured bacterium. RNAcentral's name for it is "partial 16S ribosomal RNA". It matches the Rfam family "Bacterial small subunit ribosomal RNA", at positions 524 to 776 of the family's 1533-position model. The record is from RNAcentral.
UACGUAGGGUGCAAGCGUUGUCCGGAAUUAUUGGGCGUAAAGGGCUCGUAGGCGGUUUGUCGCGUCGGGAGUGAAAUCCACUGGCUUAACUGGUGGCUUGCUUUCGAUACGGGCAGACUGGAGGUAUGCAGGGGAGAACGGAAUUCCUGGUGUAGCGGUGAAAUGCGCAGAUAUCAGGAGGAACACCGGUGGCGAAGGCGGUUCUCUGGGCAUGUCCUGACGCUGAGGGGCGAAAGUGUGGGGAGCGAACAGG